AAACCCGAGUAUAAUGCAACCGUCCUCGUGUACAGGAUCAUAACUUUUCCGAUUAGGUCUGAGAUCGAGAAAGAAAAAGCAGCGGAAACCGAAGAGAGGCGAAGAGAAGAGCAGAGAAGAAGAGAUGAUAUAUCGAAGAUGGAGUCUGCUGAUUACCCCACCGCUCAUUGUGGGGUCCAUCGUAUCUGCGACCCUCUUCUACAACUUCUUCUUAGGCGGCAACGAGCGUUUUUUUCGGAAGUACAGGGAGCAGGAGUUAUUGCAAUCCACUAAGAAGGAAUGAGAAAAGGGUCAUCACCACAAUCUGGUGAUAGUCCUUCCUUGUGCUCGUGUGUUUGUACAUGUGCCUAUGCAAACUUUUUUUCAAGUUGCAGUUUGCUAACAUGAAAAUUUGAGCUUAAUAAAAUAUCAUGGCACAUGUAAUGACUAUUUCUGUGUUUUGUUAUCAGUGAAAAAUAAAAAGUUAAAGCUCUUAAAAUUCA
Molecule: long non-coding RNA, 482 nt
Organism: Magnolia sinica
Lineage: Eukaryota; Viridiplantae; Streptophyta; Magnoliopsida; Magnoliales; Magnoliaceae
Exons: 2
Source: RefSeq, a predicted model, not a curated record